Non-coding RNA from Danio rerio (zebrafish), 562 nucleotides. The record is from RefSeq and is a predicted model, not a curated record. Lineage: Eukaryota; Metazoa; Chordata; Actinopteri; Cypriniformes; Danionidae.
UGCCUCUGUCUGCGUACCUCCUCAUACAGACUCUCAAGCACAGCCAGAGGAGGUGUGAAUUGGCCCAUCUUGGCCAGAUCUAGGGCAAGCUCUGAUGGAGAGAGGAAAGGGAAGUUAAAGUUGUAUCCUGUACAGAAGAGAAGAAUAUCUGCCCGGGUCACUGAUCCAUCCUGGAACUGUAAAGAGCCAUCCUCCAAAACACCAACAACAGCGCUGGCCUGCCGGAUGCCCAAAGGUGGAGGAAUGUAGGGCAGGUGGGGGUCGGAGUAAUGCCUGCAGAAAGAGGCAAGGAAAAAUGAGUCAGCGCCGAGAUGCUAAAGGGCUCCUGUGGUCUUCUGAAUUCCCUUGCAGAAAUGCCACAUGAAUGCAGAGCAUAAUACCUAUUCACAUCACCUCAGCGAGAUAAAAGCCUGUGGGUAUAUUGUGAGGUAAAUGAACAUGCCACUAUUUGAAUAAUGUUAUGCAUUUAGAACAUCACUGCGGAGCUGCAACGGGAGAUUAGAUGCCAUUGUGUCUGUUUGAGCAUGUCUGCGAGAUAAAAGGAUCUCUUUAAGAUGGCAUU